RNAcentral lists this ribosomal RNA (509 nucleotides) under uncultured bacterium. Its description in RNAcentral is "bacterial SSU rRNA". It matches the Rfam family "Bacterial small subunit ribosomal RNA", at positions 29 to 531 of the family's 1533-position model. The record is from RNAcentral.
AUCGAACGCUGGCGGCAUGCUUUACACAUGCAAGUCGAACGGCAGCGGGGGCUUCGGCCUGCCGGCGAGUGGCGAACGGGUGAGUAAUGCAUCGGAACGUGCCCAUGUCGUGGGGGAUAACGUAUCGAAAGGUACGCUAAUACCGCAUACGCCCUGAGGGGGAAAGCGGGGGAUUCUUCGGAACCUCGCGCGAUUGGAGCGGCCGAUGUCGGAUUAGCUAGUAGGUGAGGUAAAGGCUCACCUAGGCGACGAUCCGUAGCGGGUCUGAGAGGAUGAUCCGCCACACUGGGACUGAGACACGGCCCAGACUCCUACGGGAGGCAGCAGUGGGGAAUUUUGGACAAUGGGGGAAACCCUGAUCCAGCCAUUCCGCGUGCAGGAUGAAGGCCCUCGGGUUGUAAACUGCUUUGUACGGACGAAAAGGUCUCUCUUAAUACGGGGGGCUCAUGACGGUACCGUAAGAAUAAGCACCGGCUAACUACGUGCCAGCAGCCGCGGUAAAGUGGAAU